Molecule: long non-coding RNA, 597 nt
Organism: Gordionus sp. m RMFG-2023
Lineage: Eukaryota; Metazoa; Nematomorpha; Gordioida; Chordodea; Parachordodidae
Exons: 4
Source: RefSeq, a predicted model, not a curated record
GACCAUUUUAUGAAUAUUAAAAAUAGCAAACCAUUUUCAACCACAAGAAACAUUUAAAUCAAUGGUAGUUGUUAACAGUUAUUUCAGAGAAAGAAUUAAAUUUGUCGUAAAAGUUCAAUAUAGUACUGGAAUUAUUAAAUUAGAAAAUAUAUGAUAUUUUCUCCGAUCUUAUAUAUUAUAUGGUAUUUGCUGAAGUUUCCUAAUCCUAUAGAAUAAGGAUUGAAGAAUGUUUUUAUCUUGGGAGGAGCUUAUCAAAUCAAAUUAUUUUACACGACCCCUAAAUAAAUUAUGGCAUUUGUGACAACAGAAAUUGUGAAUUGAAAAUUAUCCUAUACAAUUCAAAUAAAAUUAUAUUGCAUUAUAUGUAUUAAAAAAUUAAAUAUUAUUUAUAACUAUGCCAUAAAGGUUUUUUAAACUAUAUUCCUAUUAAAUUCGUAUUUGUUUAUAUUUGCUAUAUAGAAUGUUUUAUUGAUUAUAUGCUUAUUUUCGCUAAUUGCUGUUUUAUUCGUUGAAAAUUAUAUCAUACAUUUUUUAAAAUUUUUUCCUUCUUUAUUCUUCCAUCAAUAUUGUAGUUAUAAUAUUCGAAUAAAAAUAUAA